AACGAACGCUGGCGGCGCGCCUAACACAUGCAAGUCGAACGAGAAGGCGUAGCAAUACGCUUGUAGAGUGGCGAACGGGUGAGUAAUACGUGGGUGACCUACCCUCGAGUGGGAAGUAACCCGCCGAAAGGCGGGCUAAUGCCGCGUACGCUUCCGUCCUCACGGGACGGGAAGGAAAGCUGUACCGUGGGUACGGCGCUCAAGGAUGGGCUCACGUCCUAUCAGCUUGUUGGUAGGGGUAACGGCCUACCAAGGCUACGACGGGUAGCUGGUCUGAGAGGACGAUCAGCCACACUGGCACUGCGACACGGGCCAGACUCCUACGGGAGGCAGCAGUGAGGAAUAUUGCGCAAUGGGCGAAAGCCUGACGCAGCGACGCCGCGUGGGGA
Molecule: ribosomal RNA, 389 nt
Filed under: uncultured bacterium
Lineage: Bacteria
Description: bacterial SSU rRNA
Rfam family: Bacterial small subunit ribosomal RNA
Source: RNAcentral